AUACGCUGCGAUAAGCUACGGGGAGGUGCGAAUACCCUUUGAUCCGUAGAUUUCCGAAUGGGGAAACCCACCUAAGGUACUUGGAAAAUCAGAGCAGCAGGGUGAUGCGAAAUCCUGCAAAGGAUUGAGCGUGAGGCGACGAUCUCUUCGAGAUCGCGCUGUCUUGCUGCUGUGGUUUCCAAGUAUCGAUAAUAGGUAACUUACCCUGAAUACAUAGGGGUAAAGUGGCGAACGCGGGGAACUGAAACAUCUAAGUACCCGUAGGAAAGGACAUCAACCGAGACUCCGGAAGUAGUGGCGAGCGAACCCGGACCAGGCCAGUGGCGAUUGAGAGACAAGCGGAACCUUCUGGAAAGUAGGGCCAUAGUGGGUGACAGCCCCGUACGCGUAAUGCAAUCAAUCGUCCUCGAGUAAGGCGGGACACGUGAAAUCCUGUCUGAAAUUGGGGGGACCACCCUCCAAGCCUAAGUACUCGUGCAUGACCGAUAGC
This 490-nucleotide ribosomal RNA is filed under the name Mesorhizobium sp. Lo5-9. Its description in RNAcentral is "bacterial LSU rRNA". It matches the Rfam family "Bacterial large subunit ribosomal RNA", at positions 61 to 491 of the family's 2925-position model. The record is from RNAcentral. Lineage: Bacteria; Pseudomonadati; Pseudomonadota; Alphaproteobacteria; Hyphomicrobiales; Phyllobacteriaceae.